This 309-nucleotide long non-coding RNA is filed under the name Zea mays. Its description in RNAcentral is "long non-coding RNA NONZMAT000361". Lineage: Eukaryota; Viridiplantae; Streptophyta; Magnoliopsida; Poales; Poaceae. The record is from RNAcentral.
CUGAAGUCUGCGAUCAUCUUCUACUUGGGUUGGAGCAUCAAGCAUGGUGGCGUAACUAAUGAAAAUGGACAGUACGGAACCAGCUUGCUGAAAUCCAUUGGCCGAUGAUUUUUUUUUUUUUUUGAAAUUCAACUGAACGAUUGCUCAAAGUUUUCAUUUAGCUAAGGAAGUUCUCGCUACGUACUUUUGUUUUUGAGCAUGCUCUCGAGCAAAUGGCAGAUGAAGCACAUGCAUGCAUAGACCUUUUUCCUAGCCCUAAGUCCCUCCGAAUACAUUUUCUCCAACUAACACCCCAAUGGUAUGAAACUA